GUGGGGAAUAUUGGGCAAUGGGGGAAACCCUGACCCAGCGACGCCGCGUGAGGGAAGAAGGCCUUAGGGUCGUAAACCUCUGUUGUGUGGGAAGAAGAGCGUGACGGUACCACACGAGGAAGUCCCGGCUAACUACGUGCCAGCAGCCGCGGUAAUACGUAGGGGACGAGCGUUGUCCGGAUUUACUGGGCGUAAAGGGCGCGUAGGCGGUCAUUUAAGUCAGCUGUGAAAUGGUUUGGCUUAACCGGAUCAUGCGGUUGAAACUGGAUGACUGGAGUGCUGGAGAGGCAAGUGGAAUUCCCAGUGUAGCGGUGAAAUGCGUAGAUAUUGGGAAGAACACCGGUGGCGAAGGCGACUUGCUGGCCAGCAACUGACGCUGAGGCGCGAAAGCCAGGGGAGCAAACGGGAUUAGAAACCCGGGUAGUCC
This 427-nucleotide ribosomal RNA is filed under the name uncultured bacterium. Its description in RNAcentral is "partial 16S ribosomal RNA". It matches the Rfam family "Bacterial small subunit ribosomal RNA", at positions 354 to 796 of the family's 1533-position model. The record is from RNAcentral.